Molecule: ribosomal RNA, 497 nt
Filed under: uncultured bacterium
Lineage: Bacteria
Description: partial 16S ribosomal RNA
Rfam family: Bacterial small subunit ribosomal RNA
Source: RNAcentral
GACGAACGCUGGCGGCGUGCCUAAUACAUGCAAGUCGAGCGCUGAAGGUUGGUGCUUGUUCCGUCUGGGUUAGCAGCGGACGGGUGAGUAACGCGUGGGUAAUCUCCCUUUGAGCGGGGGACAACUUUGGGAAACUAGUGCUAAUACCGCAUAAAAACUUGAAACACAAGGUUUAAUUGUGAAAGAUGCCUUUGCAUCACCCAAAGAUUGUCCCGCCGUGUAUUAGCUAGGUGGUGAGGUAAAGGCUCAACAAGGCGACGAUACAUAGGCGAACUGAGAGGGUGAUCGGCCCAAUUGGGACUGAGACAAGGCCCAAACUCCCACGGGAGGCAGCCGUAGGGAAACCUCGGGAAUGGACGGAAGGCUGAACGAGCAACGCCGGGGGAGUGAAGAAGGGUUUCGGAUCGUAAAACUCCGUUGAUAGAGAAGAAAGAUGGUGGGAGUGGAAAGUUCACCACGUGACGGUAACUAACCAGAAAGCGACGGCUAACUACGUG